UUUAAUGCAAUAAUUAAAUGUUUUCAAAACCAAAAAAAUCAUUUUAUUGAAAAGAAACAACUGCUUGGGAAACAAAGGGCAUGAUACUUUAUUGCUAUUUGAGAUGAGGGAAGGACACUGGGUGAGGAACAGGACAAUCACAGAUUUGCGUAUGUCCUGUUAUCAUACUCGUCUUCCUGUCCGAAAUGCUGUGCAAUUAAUGCUGUGCUUCAGGCUGGCUAAAAUGCAUGGUGAUGUGGAUUGAGGGCAGUGGGUAAGGGUCAUAGUUUGCAGGGCUGGGUGGUGAAGCUACAGGUGUUGGAGGCAACUGGUGUAGAUAAGAACCCAGCUGUUGGGGCAAGUGGGGUGGAAGUGACAUGGGGGCACAAGGAAAAGAAUUUGGGGACAAGGGCUGUGCAGGAGUGGGCGGGAGAGGGGGGCAGAAGUUCUCUGCCUCCAUUGCUGCAAGCGCCUGUGUUGCAUCGCCUUGGCGCUCCAUGAUGCUCAGCGGUCAUUCUGUGCUUUGUGCAAUCUGCAUUCUGCUGGCGGACCCUCCUUUCACUCUCUUGACAUUCCUGCACUUUUUGAUUUUCAUUAAGGGACUUCUGUAUGACUUCAUGCAGCAUGUCCUCUUUGCUUCUUCAUGGACACUUCCUGAUUCUUCAGAGACUUUUGGUUGUUGAUAACAAGGACGGCUGGGAUCUCAAGGUUGCAUCCGUAAACCAAAAUGCAACACUUAACAGAGGCAGCAUUGUUCACACCAGACAGAGCAAUAAUUCGGCCGUACUUAAAGACAAGCACAGUGUAUACAAUAGCAGAAAUUGCCCAUCCCAGAGUGAGUGCACAUAACCUACAAGAGCCCCAAAAUGAUGAGUAAGCAUAGGGGCAAGGGGGACUGAUAGUUUCAGUACUGUCCCCUGGGGUUCUGUGCCUUGGGAAGAGCCAACAGCUGCAGGGGGCCCCUAUACUGAAGUGUCCCCACAUUUUCCACAAGAUGAGUUUGUCCUGGAAGUUCUCGCUGCUGAGGAUGACCUGGGAAGCAAGGGAGGGUCUUCUACUACAAUGCAGCAUCCGUCCUGGCCCAUAUGCAGCUUGUCUGUGUGCAGCAGUGGUGUCUUCCCCACCGUCCAGUCACGGCACAGUGGUGCGGACUUGUUAGCCUUACUGGGACAAGGAGCACAGUAGCUCUGCCAAGGAACCUGCACAAGCGAAUUGCCCAGCUUCUGCAUGAGACCUUUGAAGAGAUCACUGAGGCCAAUUACUGCAAUUUGAGAGCGCACAUCAACCCCCUAUUCCCCAUCUAGUUACGCAUGCAGCCCUAACCCUCCUUGUCCCAGGAGCCUGCACCAAACAACUUCCUUCCAAAAAUAAAAGCUGCUUACCGGGCACCUCCUCUGGUGUUCGUUCUUCCCAAAGCACCAUCUGCUGCGACUGGCUAACAGCUCCUGGCUGCAUGCAUUUAGGGAUGUCGGGCUCUCUCUCUCCUCCUCAGUACCCUCGCUCCCGCUUUCCUCCUCCUCCUGCCUUGUUGCACUGGGCUCUGAAGUGACCAUAGUGGUCUUCGGAGUGGAGGUGGGGUCACCCCCAAGUAUUGUGUCCAGCUCUUUGUAGAAACAUCAGGUCAUGGGGGCAGCAUUGGAGCGGCAGUUUGCCUUGCGGGCUUUGUGGUAGGCAUUCCACAGCGCCUUUACUUUAACCCUGCACUGCAGUGCAUCCCAGUCAUGGCCCCUUUCCAUCAUGUCCCUUGAUAUCAACCAGUCAGUUCACUUAACUGUGUCUUUUCUGAAACCCCACAAGAAACUACACUUCCUUGACCUCAGAUGUGACCUGGACUUCUACCUGCAAAGAACCAAGACCAUUAGAAUGUCUCUGAGGCCCUUUGCUUCCAUAGCAGAAUGAGCAGAGGGCUAAGCUAUAGCCUCAAAGGGAAUUACUAAAUGGGUCUUGGGAUACAUAUUGGAAUGCGGUAAAAUAGCAAAACUUACCUUUCCCAGGGUGUUAAAAUGCGCUCCAUGUGAGCGCAAGCAGCCUUUGCGGCAUCUUUAUCGGACGUCCCAUUUCAGGACAUCUGCAAAGCAGCAACUUGGCGAUCUAGCCACUCGUUGAUGGCACAGUACGCCCUGAUUCAAGCGUCAGCUGUGGUUGCAGCAGGAGGAAGGUCUGUAUUACAAACUACUCUACUAGCCUCCUUGCACCAAUAUCCACACUGAUCACUGCUUGCAAGGCACCCACAUGUAGAAUAUGCACUCGAAGGAGAAGAGGAGGUUACUUACUGUAACUGGAGGUUCUUAGUGAUGCAUGGUCCCUAUGUGUAUUCCACUGUUCACCCUUUUUCCUCUUCUUUGGCCUUAAUAACAUUGCAGUAGGACGACGAACUGGAGUGGUGUCAGCCCGCACUACCCCUUGUACUCUUGGUUGCUAGCAGAAGGGGAGAAACUGUGCAUGGGUUCGUCAAGGGAUACUGCUUGGAGAAAACUUCUGGACUCAAGCAUGUAGGAUGCAUGUGCACCUACAGGUGGAAUACAGAUAGGGACCACAACUCUCAGAGAACCUCCAGUUACGUAUAGAUCGUGAUGGAAAACAUCUCUGAUGCACUGCAUCACCAAGCGGGGGAGACAGGCCUGUCUCAUUCUGUCAGGAGACCAUCAACUCUGGACAUGGUGCUACUGACCUGGGAUAACCAGGUUACCACUUGACUGGUGUACCUCUUUCACUGAACAUCAAGGCUCACUCCACCAGAGUUCGGAGCCCCCCGGACCGGUGGCCAGGACCUGGGCAGUGUGGGUGCCACUGAAAAUCAGCUCGCAUGCUGCCUUCGACACACGUGCCAUAGGUUGCCUACCCCUGAGAUAGACCAUGUCUAAAAUGUGGAAGAGUUUUUUUCUGUGGAAGAGAAUUUUUUUUCUGGUGAAUAAACAAACUUGGAAUGAAAAUCUCAAAACUACAAAUAAAACAUUCAUUUGGCAUAGUUGGAACCUUUAUUUGAGUUUUUUCCUCUUAUAAAGUAGAAAACAAAAUGUAGUAAGCAAGCUGAUUAAGCAGACUGUGAA
Long non-coding RNA from Gopherus flavomarginatus (Mexican gopher tortoise), 3029 nucleotides. RefSeq lists it as uncharacterized. NCBI's taxonomy places the organism in Eukaryota, Metazoa, Chordata, Testudines, Testudinidae. The transcript is spliced from 4 exons. The record is from RefSeq and is a predicted model, not a curated record.